AUGGGGAGAGGGCGAGUCCUGCGGCGGGCCACCUCCGGCGAGCCGGUCCGGCCCAACAAGGCCGCGCAGCGGCCAAAGGCUCCGGAGGAGUCCGCGUGUCAGACGAGGGCCGCGGCGGCGAAGAAGGUGGUGGAGGAUGCGGUGGCGAAGAAGAAAGCGUGUGCCUCCUCUUCAUCCAAGCGCGUCCAGACUCCGCCCUCCUCCCCUCCUUCGGCGGACGUCGACACGGGGGUCACCUUCGACUUCGGGUCUCUUAGCCUGAGAAGGAAGAGGAAGGCAACAGAGGAGGAGGUGGAUGACGAGGAUGCGGAGACGCUGGCCCAGAGGGCGAAGAGGGCCAAGGUCUCGGCGGGUGGCCAGCCCCCGGCGGGUACUUCGAGGGCGCCAUUGGUGGUGUUGAGCAGCCAGGACUGCAGCCCCCGGCACAGCCCCCAGCGAGGAGGACAGCGGCAGGAGGAGCCGCAGAGGGCUACCCCCAACACGCCGCCCCCAUUGACCACACCGCCCCGGGGGGCAUCCCCGGCAAGGGCACCAAGUGUCGAGCCCAUGCACAUGGAGGAGGAGGAGAACUCGGGCGCCGGUGGCACUGCCUUGGCACCAGAUGUUGGCGGAGAGGGGGCAUCUGCUUCCCAGCCUGGCACCGAUCCCUCCUCGGCGGGCCCAGAGGACAUAGACACCGUCAUUGAGGACGUCGCCAAGGCCACCGCGGUGGAUGCCGAGAAGGUUGCCGCCGAGGAGGCCGCCAAGGCGUCUACCGGGGAGGCCGGCGAGGCUGCUGCCGAGGAGGAGACGGUCGACGACCAGCCUUCCUCCUCCGCUGGCUCUGGCUCUGGCAAGUAUCUAAGGGUGAGCGACGAUCUGUUCGUCCACCUUCCUGGCGCGUCGAGCACCAGGGCACCCGUCGAGGGAGAGGUGUUUGACGACGAAGUGCUUGCCGCCGCUGGGCUCGAGGUCGUCGACAAGCCGAGCGCUGGUGGCGACGGCUCCCAGGAGGAGCGGCUCCUCCACCGCGCCCGCCUGGACAAGGCCAAGUCCAGGAUGGCAGUGGCGGAGAAGGCGGAGGCGGAACUCUAG
RNAcentral lists this ribosomal RNA (1074 nucleotides) under Triticum aestivum (bread wheat). Its description in RNAcentral is "partial small subunit ribosomal RNA". Lineage: Eukaryota; Viridiplantae; Streptophyta; Magnoliopsida; Poales; Poaceae. The record is from RNAcentral.